This 610-nucleotide ribosomal RNA is filed under the name uncultured bacterium. Its description in RNAcentral is "bacterial SSU rRNA". It matches the Rfam family "Bacterial small subunit ribosomal RNA", at positions 854 to 1461 of the family's 1533-position model. The record is from RNAcentral.
AACGCGUGAAUUGAUCCACCUGGAGAGUACGAUCGCAAUAUUAAAACUCAAAGGAAUUGACGGGGGGCCGCACAAGCGGUGGAUGAUGUGGAUUAAUUCGAUGCAACGCGAACAACCUUNCCUACCCUUGACAUGUCCGGAAGCCCGGUGAGAGCUGGGGGUGCCCGAAAGGGAACCGGAACACAGGUGCUGCAUGGCUGUCGUCAGCUCGUGUCGUGAGAUGUCGGGUUAAGUCCCGCAACGAGCGCAACCCUUGUCCCUAGUUGCUACGCAAGGGCACCCUAGGGAGACUGCCGGUGACAAACCGGAGGAAGGUGGGGAUGACGUCAAGUCCUCAUGGCCCUUAUGGGUAGGGCUUCACACGUCAUACAAUGGUCGGUACAGAGGGUUGCCAAGCCGCGAGGUGGAGCCAAUCCCAGAAAGCCGAUCGUAGUCCGGAUCGCAGUCUGCAACUCGACUGCGUGGAGUCGGAAUCGCUAGUAAUCGCGGAUCAGCAUACCGCGGUGAAUACGUUCCCGGGUCUUGUACACACCGCCCGUCAGCACCCAUGGGAUGUGGGGUUUACCAGAAGGCAGGUAGCCUAACCCGCAAGGAGGGGCGCCUCCCCCCG